GGGGAUUUAGCUUAGUGGUAGAGCGCUUGCCUAGCAAGCACAAAGCCCUGGGUUCGGUCCCCAGCUCUG
Molecule: transfer RNA, 69 nt
Filed under: Rattus norvegicus (Norway rat)
Lineage: Eukaryota; Metazoa; Chordata; Mammalia; Rodentia; Muridae
Rfam family: tRNA
About the family: Transfer RNA (tRNA) molecules are approximately 80 nucleotides in length. Their secondary structure includes four short double-helical elements and three loops (D, anti-codon, and T loops). Further hydrogen bonds mediate the characteristic L-shaped molecular structure. tRNAs have two regions of fundamental functional importance: the anti-codon, which is responsible for specific mRNA codon recognition, and the 3' end, to which the tRNAs corresponding amino acid is attached (by aminoacyl-tRNA synthetases). tRNAs cope with the degeneracy of the genetic code in two manners: having more than one tRNA (with a specific anti-codon) for a particular amino acid; and 'wobble' base-pairing, i.e. permitting non-standard base-pairing at the 3rd anti-codon position.
Source: Rfam by way of RNAcentral